This 489-nucleotide ribosomal RNA is filed under the name uncultured bacterium. RNAcentral describes it as "bacterial SSU rRNA". It matches the Rfam family "Bacterial small subunit ribosomal RNA", at positions 15 to 507 of the family's 1533-position model. The record is from RNAcentral.
GAUCAUGGCUCAGAGUGAACGCUGGCGGCAGGCCUAACACAUGCAAGUCGAACGGCAGCACAGGAGAGCUUGCUCUCUGGGUGGCGAGUGGCGGACGGGUGAGUAACGCGUGGGAACAUACCCUUUGGUACGGAAUAGCCUCGGGAAACUGGGAGUAAUACCGUAUGUGGUCGAGAGACGAAAGAUUUAUCGCCAAAGGAUUGGCCCGCGUUGGAUUAGGUAGUUGGUGAGGUAAAGGCUCACCAAGCCAACGAUCUGUAGCUGGUCUGAGAGGACGACCAGCCACACUGGAACUGAGACACGGUCCAGACUCCUACGGGAGGCAGCAGUGGGGAAUUUUGGACAAUGGACGCAAGUCUGAUCCAGCCAUUCCGCGUGCAGGAUGAAGGCCCUCGGGUUGUAAACUGCUUUUGUACGGAACGAAAAGGUUUCUAUUAAUACUAGGAGCUCAUGACGGUACCGUAAGAAUAAGCACCGGCUAACUACGUG